This 433-nucleotide ribosomal RNA is filed under the name uncultured bacterium. Its description in RNAcentral is "partial 16S ribosomal RNA". It matches the Rfam family "Bacterial small subunit ribosomal RNA", at positions 29 to 507 of the family's 1533-position model. The record is from RNAcentral.
AACGAACGCUGGCGGCAUGCCUAACACAUGCAAGUCGAACGAGACAUUCGGGUCUAGUGGCGCACGGGUGCGUAACGCGUGGGAACCUGCCCUUAGGUUCGGAAUAAAUCCCCGAAAGGGGUGCUAAUACCGGAUAAUGUCUUCGGACCAAAGAUUUAUCGCCUUUGGAUGGGCCCGCGUUGGAUUAGCUAGUUGGUAGGGUAAAAGCCUACCAAGGCGACGAUCCAUAGCUGGUCUGAGAGGAUGAUCAGCCACACUGGGACUGAGACACGGCCCAGACUCCUACGGGAAGCAGCAGUGGGGAAUAUUGGACAAUGGGCGAAAGCCUGAUCCAGCAAUGCCGCGUGAGUGAUGAAGGCCUUAGGGUUGUAAAGCUCUUUUACCCGGGAUGAUAAUGACAGUACCGGGAGAAUAAGCUCCGGCUAACUCCGUG